Molecule: transfer RNA, 76 nt
Filed under: Agrobacterium rubi
Lineage: Bacteria; Pseudomonadati; Pseudomonadota; Alphaproteobacteria; Hyphomicrobiales; Rhizobiaceae
Description: tRNA-Thr
Rfam family: tRNA
About the family: Transfer RNA (tRNA) molecules are approximately 80 nucleotides in length.
Source: RNAcentral
GCCGUCCUAGCUCAGUUGGUAGAGUGCACCCAUGGUAAGGGUGAGGUCGCCGGUUCAAUCCCGGCGGACGGCACCA